CCCAUCAGAUCCUGACGCUGAUAUUAUACACUCAUUUCCUUAGUACGAGUUUUGCAUAAGGACCAUUUUCGUCAGAGCAAAGGAAGCUUCAUGGAAGAAGCCAAAAAAGAGAAAUUAUCAUAUGAUACAUUACAAAUCUGGUUUGGGUUUAUGUUAUUUAAGGAAUUGAAGGGCCGAAGCUCUUACAAACUACUAACGAUUUCUGAUCUCCACCUUGGCAAAAGAAAAAGGUGUCAGGGCACCUGUAUAAACAAUUAUCCACCAGGCUAACAUUAGCUGAACCCGGCUUUAGACCCAUCAGUGGACUCGGGAUAGGACCGAACAAGUAGUUCCCCCCCAAUAACAGCCUCUCAAACGACGACGUAUGAGCCCUGGGAACAGCCGCUUUCAGAGCAUACUGGGUAGGUAUCAUUCCUGUAAACAUGUUGUGCUCUAAACUUAAAGCAGACAACUUUGGCAUCGAACCAAGGAAAGCUGGCAAGAGACCUCGAAGAUCAUUAUUGCUUAAAUCGAGAGCUAUUAGUUUACUUGUGAAACCCAUUGUUCCUGGCGUUUGCAAGAAUGUGAAGUUGUUGUAGGAGAGAGUAAGUUGUUGAAGAGAUGGGUGGUCAAACAAAACUGAUAAUAUAGGCCCAGAUAAUUGGUUGUGGCUGAGAUCUAAAACCUGUAAAUACUCCAAAUCGCCCACAUUAUCGGGUAGAUUUCCUUUUAAGUCGUUGUUUCGCAUCGACAGCUCGACAAGAGACAUUGGCAAUGCGGAAGGAACUUGCUCAGAGAAUUGGUUAUCGCUAGCAUCGAGAAUGUACAAGUCUUUUAGGGAGCGCAGAUCAGGAAACUCACCGGAGAAAUUGUUUUCUUGGAUUUCGAGUCUUUUUAAGUUUACAAGAGAAUUGAAGCUUGAUGGUAGAGGUCCUUGGAGAUGAUUGCCAUCAAGAUAGAGCUCUUCGAGGUGGGAGAGAGACCCAAGCGAGACAGGUAACUUGCCGGAGAGAGAGUUCUUGGAGAGACUCAGCCGACGAAGGCGAGUGAGCUUGGCCAGAGAGUCAGGGACUGAGCCAGAGAAUGCAUUGUCAGAUAUAUCAAGGGUUUGUAAGUAAGGGAGGUCCCAAGGGACAGAAGAAAGCGAACCAGAGUAACCCACGGGGUCGAAGGUGAUCUCGGUGACUCGAAAUGAGCCGGAGACAACACGGUCGCACCUUAGACCGCAUGUGAAUUUGUCGCUGAAGAUGUGAUCGCAUGGGUCGAAUGAGAAGUCCCAAGAGCUUAGGCAAGAUCCAGGAGCUACGGACUUGGAGUCCAGCCCAUUCUUUAGAUCCUUGAGCACUCGAAUGUCUCCAGGGCAGGUCCUUGAAUCAACCACUCCAAGCAACAGUUCCAGAAAUGUAAAGAUAAAGGGCAGAGAGAGAUUGGCAAUGGAAUUGCGUUUUGACAUUUUUAGGACUGAUGGUAGAAGCGAGCAGCGAGAGGACAUAUUGGAUCUGCACUUAUUGAAGUAGCGCAGGGAAGCAGCUGGUGUAAGUUUUUAAUUUCUUGUAGAUGAUUCCAGGUAAUAAAAUAUAAAUUUCAUUUCCCU
RNAcentral lists this unclassified non-coding RNA (1573 nucleotides) under Hevea brasiliensis (rubber tree). The record is from RNAcentral. Lineage: Eukaryota; Viridiplantae; Streptophyta; Magnoliopsida; Malpighiales; Euphorbiaceae.